GACACCCUCUGGUUGAAGUCAUAUGAACUGAAAAAAGAACGAAUCACUUCCUUCAGUGAUUCGUUCACUCUCGUUCACUGACAAGAUUCGUUCGCUUGAACGAAUCGUUCACUCACGAGCCAACACUAUACUUCAAACUGGCAGGAGUGAAGAACAGGCAGCACAGUCACCUUAUGUGACCCACCAGACGAUGUUUCUCUUGGUGCUGAGCUUGGCGGCUAGCCUUACUCUGCUCUUAGGACAGGAUGUCACGCAGAAACCCGCCGACAUUGUGGAGGCGGUGGGCCACUCGGUCACGAUUGAGUGUACGCACCGCAUACCGGACUACGACAGGAUGCUGUGGUACCGGCAGCGCGGCAGGGACAUGCAGCUCAUCGGGUACAUGUACUACCAAAGUGUCACGAUGGAGCCCGGGCAGGAUGAUGUCCAGCUGACUGGGAGCGCCAAAUCUGGCGAAACGUGCAAGAUGGUCAUCUCCGCACUGCACUGGAACAGCAGUGCUGUUUAUUACUGUGCAGCUAGAUACCACGGUGGAGUGUCGUGUUGAAUCGUGAAGUCAAAAACCUUAUCACACAAUCAGAGUCCCCCUAAUACCACAAUGCACCUGGAUCAAAACAUUCCAAGCACUCAAGAGUAGGAGUGGGUGCUUCAUUCGAUGGUCGCUAACAUUCCACCAGACACGAACGAUAAGAUCAUGUUCGCUCUUUAUAGACGGCUUACGUAGUAAAGUUUUCAAAAUGAUGAGUAAAUCGAAAACAAUUGAAGAGAAGGGAAAACAUAGAGCACAUUUAUUAAAUACAGAUAAAUUGUAUUAGAUGAAAAAUUCAAAAUUCGUUUAAAAGACCGAAUCUUUUCAGUGAACGAGUGAACGAAUUCUUAUGUCAGUUCAUAUGACUUCAACCAGUAGGUGUCAGUAAUGCACGUUGAAGCGGGUGCCACCCGUAAAACAAAACGAAGAAGAAAAUGACGUGUGACAGUGAACGUGAUGCGUCUCCUGGCGUGAAUGUCGAUUUACGAUUCGCCAAAGAAAGAAAGUACCACUCACUGAAACACCACUUCUUUUAUGCACGUUUUCUCCAAGCUAACGGCUAACUUUAGUGCAUGAUGGGAUGCGCCGUUAUGCAACAACGGGGAGAAUAUGGCUCUCUUUGGGUAAUCUUUAUUUUACAACACUUAAAAUAACGUGUAUGCAUAUAUACGCCUAAAUAUUGUUGUCCAAUAUAUCUACUGCAAUUUCACAUUAGAUUGCUGGUUUGAAAUGUACUUUUAUUAUUAUUGUUUUAAUAAACAUUAAAACUUUUUAAAACUU
Molecule: non-coding RNA, 1309 nt
Organism: Syngnathus typhle (broad-nosed pipefish)
Lineage: Eukaryota; Metazoa; Chordata; Actinopteri; Syngnathiformes; Syngnathidae
Source: the annotation of a RefSeq genome assembly